This 585-nucleotide unclassified non-coding RNA is filed under the name uncultured Bartonella sp. Its description in RNAcentral is "partial 16S-23S ribosomal RNA intergenic spacer". The stretch from base 121 to 194 matches the Rfam family "tRNA". The record is from RNAcentral. Lineage: Bacteria; Pseudomonadati; Pseudomonadota; Alphaproteobacteria; Hyphomicrobiales; Bartonellaceae.
GGAGGUCUCGCAGUAGCUCUCAUCAGAGCUUUAGGAAGCUCUUUGUUUUUUGAAAUGAUGCUUUUAUGAGAUAGAGCUUUUUUAGAUAAUGCUGGGGAAGGUUUUGCGGUUUGACGCGGAGGGGUUGAAGCUCAAUGGGUUGUAGCGCGCGCUUGAUAAGCGCGAGGUCGGAAGUUCAGAUCCUCCCAGGCCCACCAAUUUACCUAUCCAUUUGCCUUUUUCCGAUUAUUUGCCAAUUUAUCAGUUCAUUGAAUUUAAGUGUUGUUAACUUUUUUGUUAAUGAUGAUAUUUCAUGCUUAAAAAAAAACUCCUUAUAAAAGGCUUGUUUUUAAAAGGUGACUCUUAUCCAUUUCCCUUAAGCCAUAUAACCUUCGCGCGAUUCAAAUGCAAAGGGUUUAAAAUUUUGCGAAACACUUUUAAUUUUAAAGUGAUCCUUUUUCAAGAUCUCCAAUUUUGUAGUUUCCAAUGCUUUAUCCUUUUUGGGGGGCCGUAUCUCGACUGGCUGAGCCCCUGCUUUGCAAGCAAGGGGCCUUCAGAUCAGACCUGCUUUGCAAAUGAGUUACGGCCCGUUCAUCAGCUGGGAGA